UGAAUUUGUUGGCUAUGGAGGAGGCAGAAAAUAGAUUUCUUGGGGAACACGACUUCAGAAAUUUUUGUAAAAUGGAUGCAGUAAAUGUGCACAACUAUAAGCGGCAUAUCACGCUGUUUGAAAUUUGUCCUUCUGAUGUGAGAAAAAAGGGGCCCAACUGGUUGUGCUUGAAGGGAAGUGCCGGAAUGUAUGGGAGAGUGUUUGGUCUAAUUCUUGUUUAGAUUUGCAUCGAAUGUCUUCUGGGGCAGCAAGGGCAUUGUUUCCAUGUAUUUAUCUUACUGGA
Molecule: long non-coding RNA, 283 nt
Organism: Juglans microcarpa x Juglans regia
Lineage: Eukaryota; Viridiplantae; Streptophyta; Magnoliopsida; Fagales; Juglandaceae
Exons: 4
Source: RefSeq, a predicted model, not a curated record